GCAAAAAUGAAUCAAACUGCCUAGGAUUUGUAAGGCAAGCAUAGUAAUUGAUAUAGAAGUCAUCAACGUGGGCUGAAAUACAGCGCAAGAAGAAAUGGGAACAUUUGAAAACUAUAUUGGAAACAUUUGAAAACUGUAUUGAGAGUGAGGAGAUCUUGGCAGACUCGACAAUAUCAUUUUCCUUUGAGAAACAACACCGAGGUUUGGAAAUCCCAGAAGAUGUCUCAAGAUCAUAACACCCUUGAGAAAAUGAGCUCAUUUUUGUCUUGGCAGUGCACUCCUCUGUAUAUUUCCUUGGCCCUCAGGCGGACUUACAUCUGGAAAAAUAGCUCGAGUAGUUCGAGGCUUCACAUCCAUGCACCUUGUUGUUGGAAGAAGAGAGAGAUUCUUCCCAGCAUUCCAAACAAAAGUCCUGAAAUUCACCUUGAGUGGGUCAUAUCCUCCUCUUCCCAUCCCCCACCCCAGUCCCAACCAAAUAAUGAAAUGCCCACGGGAAGUGGAAUGUGCCAUUGCUUGGAUUAAACCAACUAUAGGCUCCAUCUGAAGCUUGAGAUGGGAUCAGCAUCCUCCAAAGUACUGGGGCUUAUGGUUGAGGCUGUCAUCCAGGUAAAGUCUGGAUGCUGCUAGUAAAGGGAAAGCAGGUAAUGAAAAUUCGUUAUGGAGCCAAGAAUGUCCACUCCACCAUCCCUAAGGCCCAGCUGAAGACCAUCUCUUUGACAAUGUCAGUUUCUACAAACACUGCCUUGACUUGCCUUAUGCUGUAUCUUUUAUGCAUGUAUGUCUUGCCUCCCAAAGUAGAUUAUAGGUUCCUUGAAGUCAGGGACAUUAAAUUCCUAUUCAGUACUGAGCUACAUACAGAGAACACUCAAUGAAUGAUAAAAUAGUUUCAUGGUAGAUUCAGCGCCAUAUAUUUGGAAAGUGGAACUAGGUGGUUGAAAGAAGUGGGGUGGGUGGAAAAGAGUAUCACAGCUCUUAGAACUGCACUUGGGAGAGAGUAACAAGUAAAGCAACGGAUCCCUAGGUGAAAUAACUGAGGCAGUUUCACUCCCUAAAAGGUGCCCACAGAAUCCCAUUUCUGCUUUCAGAAUGAGUUUAAGGCCAAUAGCUCUGUAAGCUCCAAUAGCUCUGUUUGAUUGUAUUUAUGCCUCCAGAAGUGGCUUUCUUAGCCUUGACAAUCUUAAUUUAAGUUUCUUAUUUCCUUUGGACCUUCCAAAGUGUUUUCCCUCAAGUGGCAUCUGGGAAAGCAUAUUCUAUUCAUUUAUUUGAUAACUGCUGCCUUGACCUCUUUAUUGCCUCCCUAACUAUUAGAACCCAAGAUGCUCUUGCAAACAGGACUUUUUAUUGACAGUCUUCGUCCUUUGCAAAUGGAAGUGAUGACAGAUCCACUACUUUGUAUAAAAAUAUUUUGCUAUUUCUAUACAAAAUAUUUUAUAAAUGGAAACCACACAUUAUGUAUUUUACCAAAAUGUUAUGACUUGAAAUUUGGGUAUCUAAUAUGGCUCUAGUAAUAAAUGCUUCACAGUGCAACUGUUGCUUUGAUUUGCAGCUGGCUGGCAUUUUAAUUUUUAAUUCACAUUUUUAAUUCAAAUAUGACUGAUCUGAAAUAUUAAGAAAAAUUCUCCUUGAAUCAUUGCACUUCAAAAGAAGAAAGCAAACCCAGCUGUCUGAUUAUGAUGCAAUGUUUUAUUUAUAAAUUGAGAUCAUUAGCAUUCAUCUAAUGCUUUUUUCUGUCCAUGAACUCCUUCUGUCCAUGUACUCCUAAUAAUGCUAAAUUAAAUGAAGAUGCUUUAUAAAGUUAAAUUUGCCAGAGCAACAUAAAGUAUAGAAGUGAGACCUAUGAACACGUUAAGGAAAAAAACUCAUUUCUAAAAACAGAUUCAAUAAACAAUAAGUAUGCAAAUAUCUACUGCAGUUUCUCUUUCUCAAACCUUAAAAAAUGCCUUCCUAGGUAAUAGUCC
This is a long non-coding RNA of Equus asinus (donkey), 1958 nucleotides long. The record is from Ensembl. Lineage: Eukaryota; Metazoa; Chordata; Mammalia; Perissodactyla; Equidae.